This 209-nucleotide ribosomal RNA is filed under the name uncultured bacterium. Its description in RNAcentral is "partial 16S ribosomal RNA". It matches the Rfam family "Bacterial small subunit ribosomal RNA", at positions 524 to 732 of the family's 1533-position model. The record is from RNAcentral.
UACGUAGGGUGCAAGCGUUGUCCGGAAUUAUUGGGCGUAAAGAGCUCGUAGGCGGUUUGUCGCGUCUGCUGUGAAAACCUAAGGCUCAACCUUGGGCUUGCAGUGGGUACGGGCAGACUAGAGUGCGGUAGGGGUGACUGGAAUUCCUGGUGUAGCGGUGGAAUGCGCAGAUAUCAGGAGGAACACCGAUGGCGAAGGCAGGUCACUGG